This is a non-coding RNA of Podarcis lilfordi (Lilford's wall lizard), 180 nucleotides long. Lineage: Eukaryota; Metazoa; Chordata; Lepidosauria; Squamata; Lacertidae. The record is from the annotation of a GenBank genome assembly.
GCGUGCAAGCAGGAGCGGGGCAGGAAUCUCUCAGUUAGGCAACGAGAAGCCUUGCUUCCCAGCUGAGGGAUCCCCACCCCCUCCUGCUUGCAUGCAAGUAAGAAUGGGAUUGGGGCUGCUCCGAUGGGAAGGGAGGCAUCACGCUGCCUGAGAGAUCCCUGGCCCCUCCUGCUUGCACGC